RNAcentral lists this ribosomal RNA (429 nucleotides) under Gemmatimonadota bacterium. RNAcentral's name for it is "Gemmatimonadetes bacterium partial 16S ribosomal RNA". It matches the Rfam family "Bacterial small subunit ribosomal RNA", at positions 355 to 776 of the family's 1533-position model. The record is from RNAcentral. Lineage: Bacteria; Pseudomonadati; Gemmatimonadota.
UAGGGAAUCUUCGGCAAUGGACGAAAGUCUGACCGAGCAACGCCGCGUGAGUGAAGAAGGUUUUCGGAUCGUAAAACUCUGUUGUUAGAGAAGAACAAGGACGUUAGUAACUGAACGUCACCUGACGGUAUCUAACCAGAAAGCCACGGCUAACUACGUGCCAGCAGCCGCGGUAAUACGUAGGUGGCAAGCGUUGUCCGGAUUUAUUGGGCGUAAAGCGAGCGCAGGCGGUUUCUUAAGUCUGAUGUGAAAGCCCCCGGCUCAACCGGGGGGGGUCAUUGGAAACUGGGAGGCUUGAGUGCAGAAGAGGAGAGUGGAAUUCCAUGUGUGGCGGUGAAAUGCGUAGAUAUAUGGAGGAACACCAGUGGCGAAGGCGGCUCUCUGGUCUGUAACUGACGCUGAGGCUCGAAAGCGUGGGGAGCAAACAGG